UCAGGCCUAACACAUGCAAGUCGAACGCCCCGCAAGGGGAGUGGCAGACGGGUGAGUAACGCGUGGGAAUCUACCUAGUUCUACGGAACAACAGUUGGAAACGACUGCUAAUACCGUAUACGCCCUACGGGGGAAAGAUUUAUCGGAAUUAGAUGAGCCCGCGUAAGAUUAGCUAGUUGGUGGGGUAAUGGCCUACCAAGGCGACGAUCUUUAGCUGGUCUGAGAGGAUGAUCAGCCACACUGGGACUGAGACACGGCCCAGACUCCUACGGGAGGCAGCAGUGGGGAAUA
RNAcentral lists this ribosomal RNA (291 nucleotides) under uncultured bacterium. Its description in RNAcentral is "partial 16S ribosomal RNA". It matches the Rfam family "Bacterial small subunit ribosomal RNA", at positions 43 to 363 of the family's 1533-position model. The record is from RNAcentral.